This 407-nucleotide ribosomal RNA is filed under the name uncultured bacterium. Its description in RNAcentral is "partial 16S ribosomal RNA". It matches the Rfam family "Bacterial small subunit ribosomal RNA", at positions 30 to 526 of the family's 1533-position model. The record is from RNAcentral.
AUUGAACGCUGGCGGCAGGCCUAAUACAUGCAAGUCGAGCGGAGCUGCGGACGGGUGAUUAAUGCCUAGGAAUCUGCCUGGUAGUGGGGGAUAACGUCCGGAAGCGGGCGCUAAUAACGCAUACGAGCAAAUGAGCCUAGGUCGGAUUAGCUAGCUGGUGGGGUAAAGGCCUACCAAGGCGACGAUCCGUCACUGGUCUGAGAGGAUGAUCAGUCACACUGUAACUGAGACACGGUCCAGACUCCUACGGGAGGCAGCAGUGGGGAAUAUUGGACAAUGGGCGAAAGUCUGAUCCAGCCAUGCCGCGUGUGGGAAGAAGGUCUUCGGAUUGUAAAGCACUUUAAGUUGGGAGGCGUUACCAACAGAAUAAGCACCGGCUAACUUCGUGCCAGCAGCCGCGGUAAUAC